AUACUUACCUGGCAGGGGAGACACCAUGAUCAUGAAGGCGGCUUUCCCAGGGCGAGGUUUAUCCAUUGCACUCCAGAUGUGCUGACCCCUGUGAUUUCCUCAAAUGCGGGAAAUUCAACUGCAUAAUUUGUGGUAGUGGGGGACUGCAUUCUUGCUCUUCCCUG
Small nuclear RNA from Mastomys coucha (southern multimammate mouse), 164 nucleotides. RefSeq annotates it as U1 spliceosomal RNA. The record is from RefSeq and is a predicted model, not a curated record. NCBI's taxonomy places the organism in Eukaryota, Metazoa, Chordata, Mammalia, Rodentia, Muridae. The transcript has a single exon.